This is a long non-coding RNA of Micropterus dolomieu (smallmouth bass), 790 nucleotides long. RefSeq lists it as uncharacterized. NCBI's taxonomy places the organism in Eukaryota, Metazoa, Chordata, Actinopteri, Centrarchiformes, Centrarchidae. The record is from RefSeq and is a predicted model, not a curated record. The transcript is spliced from 2 exons.
UGUCAAUAAUAACUGCUGCUGUGAAGAGAACAAUUCUCAGACUGAAUGUUGAACAUCAGCUAGUUUCUCCUGUUGAUUUAAACCUUGUUGUAGAGAUGGAACAUUGGCUGGGGAUUAUUCUUGCUGCUCUUUUCUUUGGACUAAUAGCUGGAGACACAAUCUCUCCUGAACGAGAGGAAGUCAGUGAAAGAGAAGGACAAUCUGUCACACUCACAUGUAACUAUCAGACAGCUGAAGACUAUAUUUACCUUAACUGGUACAGACAUCAUUCUGACCUUCAGGCACCUCAGUUUAUACUCUGGAAAGGAGCAAAAGAUAACACAGCUGAACAUAUUCCUGAUAGAAGAUAUGAAUCUGAAACAUCAGCAACAUCAACUACACUGACCAUCAGAGAUCUAACCCUGGCAGACACAGCUCUCUACUACUGUGCUCUAGAAACAGUGAUACAAAGUGUAGAAGAGGCUGUACAAAAACCUGAACCCAGAUAUCUGACUACUCUUCAAAGAGGAGGGAAGUGGUAUUCAAACCACAGCUUCAUAUCAGAUGGAUUCUGCUAAUUCCUGUUUUAUCAGAGUCACUGUGGUUCCAGCUGCUAAUGAAACACUGGGGGAGGAUUCACAGGAGCAGCAAAUCCACAUCAAUUUACAGAAAACAUUUGGGGCCAAUCAGAUUCCUCCCAGAUGGUUCCAUAUAUGUGCCCCCUAAAGGGUGUUCACCUCUACAACUCACUACAGCAUCACUACGUCAUAUUAUUGUGUUCUAUAAACUUUACGAUAGUGAAUAUCUACAA